Molecule: ribosomal RNA, 1413 nt
Filed under: Streptococcus thermophilus
Lineage: Bacteria; Bacillati; Bacillota; Bacilli; Lactobacillales; Streptococcaceae
Description: bacterial SSU rRNA
Rfam family: Bacterial small subunit ribosomal RNA
Source: RNAcentral
UGCAGUAGAACGCUGAAGAGAGGAGCUUGCUCUUCUUGGAUGAGUUGCGAACGGGUGAGUAACGCGUAGGUAACCUGCCUUGUAGCGGGGGAUAACUAUUGGAAACGAUAGCUAAUACCGCAUAACAAUGGAUGACACAUGUCAUUUAUUUGAAAGGGGCAAUUGCUCCACUACAAGAUGGACCUGCGUUGUAUUAGCUAGUAGGUGAGGUAAUGGCUCACCUAGGCGACGAUACAUAGCCGACCUGAGAGGGUGAUCGGCCACACUGGGACUGAGACACGGCCCAGACUCCUACGGGAGGCAGCAGUAGGGAAUCUUCGGCAAUGGGGGCAACCCUGACCGAGCAACGCCGCGUGAGUGAAGAAGGUUUUCGGAUCGUAAAGCUCUGUUGUAAGUCAAGAACGGGUGUGAGAGUGGAAAGUUCACACUGUGACGGUAGCUUACCAGAAAGGGACGGCUAACUACGUGCCAGCAGCCGCGGUAAUACGUAGGUCCCGAGCGUUGUCCGGAUUUAUUGGGCGUAAAGCGAGCGCAGGCGGUUUGAUAAGUCUGAAGUUAAAGGCUGUGGCUCAACCAUAGUUCGCUUUGGAAACUGUCAAACUUGAGUGCAGAAGGGGAGAGUGGAAUUCCAUGUGUAGCGGUGAAAUGCGUAGAUAUAUGGAGGAACACCGGUGGCGAAAGCGGCUCUCUGGUCUGUAACUGACGCUGAGGCUCGAAAGCGUGGGGAGCGAACAGGAUUAGAUACCCUGGUAGUCCACGCCGUAAACGAUGAGUGCUAGGUGUUGGAUCCUUUCCGGGAUUCAGUGCCGCAGCUAACGCAUUAAGCACUCCGCCUGGGGAGUACGACCGCAAGGUUGAAACUCAAAGGAAUUGACGGGGGCCCGCACAAGCGGUGGAGCAUGUGGUUUAAUUCGAAGCAACGCGAAGAACCUUACCAGGUCUUGACAUCCCGAUGCUAUUUCUAGAGAUAGAAAGUUACUUCGGUACAUCGGUGACAGGUGGUGCAUGGUUGUCGUCAGCUCGUGUCGUGAGAUGUUGGGUUAAGUCCCGCAACGAGCGCAACCCCUAUUGUUAGUUGCCAUCAUUCAGUUGGGCACUCUAGCGAGACUGCCGGUAAUAAACCGGAGGAAGGUGGGGAUGACGUCAAAUCAUCAUGCCCCUUAUGACCUGGGCUACACACGUGCUACAAUGGUUGGUACAACGAGUUGCGAGUCGGUGACGGCGAGCUAAUCUCUUAAAGCCAAUCUCAGUUCGGAUUGUAGGCUGCAACUCGCCUACAUGAAGUCGGAAUCGCUAGUAAUCGCGGAUCAGCACGCCGCGGUGAAUACGUUCCCGGGCCUUGUACACACCGCCCGUCACACCACGAGAGUUUGUAACACCCGAAGUCGGUGAGGUAACCUUUUGGAGCCAGCC